Molecule: long non-coding RNA, 1544 nt
Filed under: Marmota monax (woodchuck)
Lineage: Eukaryota; Metazoa; Chordata; Mammalia; Rodentia; Sciuridae
Source: RNAcentral
CUGUGAAAAUCUUAUGUCAUUCUUUCCUGGCCUACAAGGUUUCUGAUGAGGUGAUGAGGUGAACUGUCAGGAAAAUUGGGAAACCCUUACAUGCUAUUUGUUUCUUUUCUUUUGAAUCCUUGAGCAUCUUCUCUUUUAUUUGUAAGACUUUGACUAUAACAUGUCUUUGGGUAGACUAGGUUGAGUUAAUUUUAAUUGGUCCCAUUUGACCUUCCUAGGUCAGGAUGUUUAUAUUCUUCUCUGAGCUUGGGAAGUUUUCUGCCAUGGCUCUUUGAAUCAGCUUUCUGUAUCUUUUGUAUUCUCAAGUCCUUCUUGAACUCCUUUUUUUUGUUCUUUUACUGCUGUCCCAAGUUCCCAUAUGCUUUCUUCAUUCCUUUUUAUUUUUUUUUCUUUUGACUCCUCCAACUGUGUAUUUUCAAAAAGCCUAUAGUUGAGUUCAUUAAUUCUUUCUUCUGUUUAAUCUAUCCUAUUUUUUAUAGUGUUUUUAAUUCUCUGAGAGAACUCUCAUAGUGUUUACUGCUUGGUCAGUUUCUGGCACCUUAUGUUGAUUAUUAGGUGAAGACACGGUUUUCCGAAAAUUUUUGAUACUUUUUGGCACGCAACAUCCAUUGGGCAUUGAAGACGAGGUAUUUAUUCCAGUCUUCCUUAACUGGUUUUGUUUGCGCCUUUUCUUCUAGAAAUUCUAAGCAAACUGCUUAUUUUCUCUAAGUUUAUAGUCACUUCCACUACUUCAGUACUGGAAGGCACCAAGGUCCAUAACUGCCAGGUGUCUGCUGUUGGCAUGUUUUCAAUGUGUCAGUAUUAGAGGUCACUCCAAGUCCAGGUUUGCCCCAGAUAGACUGAUGGUGUAUUGUUUUCAGAAAGGAACAGGAGAGUACCUAAAAAAGAGUAGUCUGUCCCCACAAGCUUCUCCCUGGUCCCAGGUUAGGACCCGAUGCCUUGUCUGCAGUUACUGGUCUGUGGUCAGACGCUGCAGGAUUCUGCAUGGUUCUGGGUAGUAUCACUGUAGAUGGACCAGUCCAAGGCUCUGUGUCUGUCUUGUCGGCACCAAUGUUGUGACGUUUGAGCCCAAACCUACAAAGAUCAGCACAACACUAAGUUAGAACAAGGCCCACGUUGCUAUGGACUGCCUGUUGUUGAGGUGAACUCAUGGCCCAAGAUGGCAGCACCCAGUCACAGAUGAUAUUAGCUGUCAUAGAAGUCUGACUGAUUGGAGCUGUGUUGUCUUUUCCAGGCACUGGAGCUGUUCCAGAGGUUCUGAGUGCAGGCAGCCCUGAGAAUGGGAUCAAUUAGGAUCUUCCCAAUGUUAGGUUUCACCAGCCCAGCACUAAGUUCCUGGGAAAAAUCCUGUGCUUACUACCUACCCUGUCUUAUCCCAGCAAAUGGGGCCAUGCAUCAUGAUAUGCUGCCCAAAGUUGGUGAGGGGAGUCCCUCUGCCACCUAGGCUGAUGUUGAAUCAAGUCUACCUGAUUCUUGCGUCUCCCCUGCACAGUCUCAGGGUGCACUAGGGCCCACACUGCAACUGGUGGCAAUGUAGGUCAAAG